UACGUAGGGUGCGAGCGUUAAUCGGAAUUACUGGGCGUAAAGUGUGCGCAGGCGGCAGAGCAAGUCGAGUGUGAAAGCCCCGGGCUUAACUUGGGAAUUGCGCUCGAAACUACUUUGCUGGAGUGUGGCAGAGGAAGGUAGAAUUCCACGUGUAGCGGUGAAAUGCGUAGAGAUGUGGAGGAACACCAAUGGCGAAGGCAGCCUUCUGGGCCAACACUGACGCUCAUGCACGAAAGCGUGGGGAGCAAACAGG
This 253-nucleotide ribosomal RNA is filed under the name uncultured bacterium. RNAcentral describes it as "partial 16S ribosomal RNA". It matches the Rfam family "Bacterial small subunit ribosomal RNA", at positions 524 to 776 of the family's 1533-position model. The record is from RNAcentral.